ACCCAGUCAGUUUACACCUAAGGGCUCGGAAGAGCUACCACUUGCCCAUGCUGGCCUUGGAAAGAGGAUGCUAAAUCUACCAGACAACUUAUUGCACAGUGAGACUAUGGCUUCGGUUGAGGAAGAAUUUCCAAAACUGAAAACAUUAAAAGGAGGCUGGAUGUUUUUCAAGUCAGCAGGUGGUAGUGGACGUCGAAAGCUGUCCAUAAUUCCUACUGACUCCGAGGGGUACUCCACAAGGCUCCUCAAAACAGCGUCCAACAACGGAAAAAAACAUUGUGUUUGUAAUUCCACUACAGGAGCAACUUUCUACCGAACCUCUACCCUAUGACUCGGCAGAGUUUGCAAAGAUGCCACAGUCAACCUGCAUAACAUGUGGCAGUCAAAUGCCUUUGCAGCUGUUGCCUUUACAUGUGGAGGAAUGUAAUGACAUAUUGACUGAGAGUGAAUCUGGGACUUCUCUUGAUGAAGUGAUUGAGCAGCCAAAUCCA
Gymnodraco acuticeps is the source of this 491-nucleotide long non-coding RNA. RefSeq lists it as uncharacterized. Lineage: Eukaryota; Metazoa; Chordata; Actinopteri; Perciformes; Bathydraconidae. The record is from RefSeq and is a predicted model, not a curated record. The transcript is spliced from 4 exons.